Molecule: small nucleolar RNA, 127 nt
Organism: Peromyscus maniculatus bairdii (prairie deer mouse)
Lineage: Eukaryota; Metazoa; Chordata; Mammalia; Rodentia; Cricetidae
Source: Ensembl
AGCACUUGUACAUUUUUUGUGCAGCUGGUGGACAAUAGCAGGUCAUACAGUUGCAAAAAUAAAUCCUCCUUUGCAAAUCUGAACUCAUUGUUCAGUGUGAGUUUUGAUACAUAUAAGAAGGAAUACA